RNAcentral lists this long non-coding RNA (564 nucleotides) under Homo sapiens (human). Its description in RNAcentral is "HSALNT0231555". Lineage: Eukaryota; Metazoa; Chordata; Mammalia; Primates; Hominidae. The record is from RNAcentral.
GAGAAAGAGAGUUUGCAAUGUUCAUAACAAUUACAUAGGCACAACGCUAAAGCUGAAGUAUUUAAUCAAUGGGAUAAAUUCACCAAUGAGAUCUUGGUGUGAGUCUCUGCCUGCAUUUCUGAAGCCCUCUGCCCUGAAGCUGACAUCUUUCAGAGCUGAAUGAAUUCCUGAGACCGUGUGUAGGAAGGUGCAAAGAGACAAAUAAGUCAUCUGAUUAUUUCAUCCCCACUCCCCAGAGGCAUGGACUCCGAACAGUUUCUUGGCUGCCUUCCAGAAUUUUCUAUGUUAAUAACAUAAAUAUAAGUUAUACAUAGGAAAUCUCUCUCUCUCUCUCUCUCACACACACACACACACAAACACACACACGCACACACACAUAAUGGCAGCUUGGUGGUUGGGAGCCUGAUGGAGGCAGCUGAUACAGUAUAGCAUAGUAUAUGGACAGCCUGAUUAGUGGCCCCACCACUUACUAGCUACAUUAUCUUGAACAAGUUGCUUAGCCUCUGUGUUUCAAUUUCCUCAUCAGUAAAAUGGGGAUGAUAAGCCUGCCACACAGGUUUCUUC